UACCUGCAGCUCAAGUGGUAACCGCUAUUAUUGGGCCUAAAGCGUCCGUAGCCGGUUUGGUAAAUAUCUGGGUAAAUCGUGAGGCUUAACUUCACGAAUUUCGGAUAGACUGCCAGACUUGGGAUCGGGGGAGGUCAGAGGUACUCCAGGGGUAGCGGUGAAAUGUUGUAAUCCUUGGAGGACCACCGGUAGCGAAGGCGUCUGACUAGAACGAGUCCGACGGUGAGGGACGAAGCCCUGGGGCGCAAACCGGAUUAGAUACCCGGGUAGUCCAGGGUGUAAACGAUGUGGGCUUUGUAUUGGAGGUCCCACGUGGGCGUCCAGUGCAGAAGAGAAGUUGUCAAGCCCACCGCCUGGGAAGUACGGUCGCAAGGCUGAAACUUAAAGGAAUUGGCGGGGGGCACAGCAACGGGAGGAGCGGUGCGGUUU
This 429-nucleotide ribosomal RNA is filed under the name uncultured archaeon. Its description in RNAcentral is "bacterial SSU rRNA". It matches the Rfam family "Archaeal small subunit ribosomal RNA", at positions 474 to 903 of the family's 1478-position model. The record is from RNAcentral.